CUGAGGUCACACAUUCUUAUUUUCAAUGACAGCCUAGGAACAGUGGGUUAACUGCCUUUUCAGGGGCAGAACGACAGAUUCGUACCUUGUCAGCUCGGGGGUUUGAACUCGCAACCUUCCGGUUACCAGUCCAAUGCUCUAACCACUAGGCUACGCUGCUGCCCUGUCCUAAUGAGAGGUGUGUGGCUGGUUGAAGUUUUCAACAAGCAUGUCUAUUCUGGGCUCUGCUUUAGUGCAACACUGAGGUCAUGCUCAGCAUUGAGUCAGUUUCUGUACUAGAGAACCCUGACUCACAUAAGUAUGUGGUGCCAAACUGGAUCAGAACAUCUGCUUUCUCAGUGAGGCAGGAGGCCGCUUCCUGCUGUAGAUGAACAACCCAGAACUGUGAGUGGGUUCUCAGUCAUGCAGGAGGCCGCUUCCUGCUGUAGAUGAACAACCCAGAACUGUGUGAGUGGGUUCUGUCAGGCAGGAGGCCGCUUCCUGCUGUAGAUGAACAACCCAGAACUGUGUGAGUGGGUUCUCAGUCAUGCAGGAGGCCGCUUCCUGCUGUAGAUGAACAACCCAGAACUGUGUGAGUGUUUUCCUCAAAAAGUAUCUGGCUUCAGUUGAUUGCAGUUCAGAAUUAAAAUUACUUGUAUUUUAACAGCAACAGUUCCAACCUAGUCUUGUUUUCAACAAUAAUUUCUACAGUAAAAUGUACAGUAGGCCUGAAUUUGUCAUCUGUACUGUUACUAGAGUUGCACUAUCAGUAGCUAGCUAGCUUGCUUUGGCUAACAUUGUAAUUAACGUAACAAGGCCAGGGGAUUGUUUGAAAGAGAAACUCACAUCAACUACUAUGAGAGAUAUUACUCCCUUAUUUGUGCUUAUCAUCCAUCACCUGUUAUAAAAUGACAACAAUGCCUUGCUUGUUAACUUACUUUUCCACUUUCUAAGCAUCGUUUCCUGAAGCAUUCUGCCCUGUUCUGAAAGACCUCCCUGGGUUUACCACCAUGCUGUGGAUGUUUGAUCAGGACGUGUCAUUUUAUUAAUUGGUUCGUUUUGCGAGACUCAUUACUAAGCAUUUCCACACACAAAACACAUUGUGGGAGCUCCUCGUUACUUCUCAAAGUUUGUAUGAAAGAGACAGAAAGUCAUCACUGAACAGAGAGCACUGCUAAGCAGAGAGAGCACUGAACAGAGAG
Oncorhynchus tshawytscha (Chinook salmon) is the source of this 1181-nucleotide long non-coding RNA. Lineage: Eukaryota; Metazoa; Chordata; Actinopteri; Salmoniformes; Salmonidae. The record is from Ensembl.